This 583-nucleotide ribosomal RNA is filed under the name uncultured Gammaproteobacteria bacterium. Its description in RNAcentral is "bacterial SSU rRNA". It matches the Rfam family "Bacterial small subunit ribosomal RNA", at positions 896 to 1478 of the family's 1533-position model. The record is from RNAcentral. Lineage: Bacteria; Pseudomonadati; Pseudomonadota; Gammaproteobacteria.
AAAACUCAAAGGAAUUGACGGGGGACCCGCACAAGCGGUGGAUGAUGUGGAUUAAUUCGAUGCAACGCGAAAAACCUUACCUACCCUUGACAUGCCAGGAACCCUGCUGAGAGGUGGGGGUGCUCGAAAGAGAGCCUGGGCACAGGUGCUGCAUGGCUGUCGUCAGCUCGUGUCGUGAGAUGUUGGGUUAAGUCCCGCAACGAGCGCAACCCUUGUCAUUAGUUGCCAUCAUUUAGUUGGGCACUCUAAUGAGACUGCCGGUGACAAACCGGAGGAAGGUGGGGAUGACGUCAAGUCCUCAUGGCCCUUAUGGGUAGGGCUUCACACGUCAUACAAUGGUCGGUACAGAGGGUUGCCAAGCCGCGAGGUGGAGCCAAUCCCAGAAAGCCGAUCGUAGUCCGGAUCGUAGUCUGCAACUCGACUGCGUGAAGUCGGAAUCGCUAGUAAUCGUGGAUCAGCAUGCCACGGUGAAUACGUUCCCGGGUCUUGUACACACCGCCCGUCACACCAUGGGAGUGGGUUUCACCAGAAGUAGGUAGCCUAACCGCGAGGGGGGCGCUUACCACGGUGGAUUCAUGACUGG